RNAcentral lists this unclassified non-coding RNA (900 nucleotides) under Penicillium crustosum. RNAcentral's name for it is "sequence contains 18S rRNA gene, ITS1, 5.8S rRNA gene, ITS2 and 28S rRNA gene". The stretch from base 178 to 330 matches the Rfam family "5.8S ribosomal RNA". The record is from RNAcentral. Lineage: Eukaryota; Fungi; Ascomycota; Eurotiomycetes; Eurotiales; Aspergillaceae.
GUAAAAGAAACGCAGUACUCUGGGUCACCUCCCCCCGUGUUUAUUUUACCUUGUUGCUUCGGCGGGCCCGCCUUAACUGGCCGCCGGGGGGCUUACGCCCCCGGGCCCGCGCCCGCCGAAGACACCCUCGAACUCUGUCUGAAGAUUGAAGUCUGAGUGAAAAUAUAAAUUAUUUAAAACUUUCAACAACGGAUCUCUUGGUUCCGGCAUCGAUGAAGAACGCAGCGAAAUGCGAUACGUAAUGUGAAUUGCAAAUUCAGUGAAUCAUCGAGUCUUUGAACGCACAUUGCGCCCCCUGGUAUUCCGGGGGGCAUGCCUGUCCGAGCGUCAUUGCUGCCCUCAAGCCCGGCUUGUGUGUUGGGCCCCGUCCCCCGAUCUCCGGGGGACGGGCCCGAAAGGCAGCGGCGGCACCGCGUCCGGUCCUCGAGCGUAUGGGGCUUUGUCACCCGCUCUGUAGGCCCGGCCGGCGCUUGCCGAUCAACCCAAAUUUUUAUCCAGGUUGACCUCGGAUCAGGUAGGGAUACCCGCUGAACUUAAGCAUAUCAAUAAGCAGGAGGAAUACCGAGUGAGGGCCCUCUGGGUCCUCCUCCCACCGUGGUUAUCUUACCUUGGUGCUUCGGCGGGCCCGCUCAACUGGCCGCCGGGGCGGCUUACGCCUACCGGCCCGCACCAGCGAAAGACCCCUCGACCUCCGACCGAACUCAGAACAUCCUACCUCAAACUUCUACAGUUUUUUUGAGACUUUUCAUCAAGGGAAUCUUUGGGUUUCGGCAUCGAUUAAAAAACGCAGCGAAAAUGCGAUACGUUAAUGUUGAAUUUGCAAAAUUCGCUGGAAUCAUCGAGGUCUUUUGAACGCCAAUUGCGCCCCGGGGUUUUUCCGGGGGGGGCGUUGCCGGUCCC